UACGGAGGAUGCGAGCGUUAUCCGGAUUUAUUGGGUUUAAAGGGUGCGUAGGCGGCCGAGUAAGUCAGCGGUGAAAUUUUGCAGCUUAACUGUAACAGUGCCGUUGAUACUGCAUGGCUAGGAUUUGGUUGCUGUGGGUGGAAUGUGUGGUGUAGCGGUGAAAUGCUUAGAUAUCACACAGAACACCGAUUGCGAAGGCAGCUUACUAAUCCAUCAUUGACGCUGAGGCACGAAAGCGUGGGGAUCAAACAGGA
This 254-nucleotide ribosomal RNA is filed under the name uncultured prokaryote. RNAcentral's name for it is "partial 16S ribosomal RNA". It matches the Rfam family "Bacterial small subunit ribosomal RNA", at positions 524 to 777 of the family's 1533-position model. The record is from RNAcentral.